AAAAAGUGGAGACCAGCAACCAUUUUAAAAACGGGGCGAAAACUGAAAAGCCAAACGAGUAAGAAUAAAA
Molecule: non-coding RNA, 70 nt
Filed under: unclassified sequences
Description: DUF805 RNA
Rfam family: DUF805 RNA
Source: RNAcentral